Molecule: unclassified non-coding RNA, 308 nt
Filed under: plant metagenome
Description: partial contains 5.8S ribosomal RNA, internal transcribed spacer 2, and large subunit ribosomal RNA
Rfam family: 5.8S ribosomal RNA (bases 1-105)
Source: RNAcentral
GAAAUGCGAUAAGUAAUGUGAAUUGCAGAAUUCAGUGAAUCAUCGAAUCUUUGAACGCACAUUGCGCCCUUUGGUAUUCCAAAGGGCAUGCCUGUUCGAGCGUCAUUUGUACCCUCAAGCUUUGCUUGGUGUUGGGCGUCUUGUCUCUAGCUUUGCUGGGGACUCGCCUUAAAGUAAUUGGCAGCCGGCCUACUGGUUUCGGAGCGCAGCACAAGUCGCACUCUCUAUCAGCAAAGGUCUAGCAUCCAUUAAGCCUUUUUUUCAACUUUUGACCUCGGAUCAGGUAGGGAUACCCGCUGAACUUAAGC